GGAGUUUGGUCCGUGUCUCAGUACCAAUGUGGGGGACCUUCCUCUCAGAACCCCUACUGAUCGUUGCCCCGGUGGGCCGUUACCCCGCCGGCAAGCUAAUCAGACGCAUCCCCAUCCCUUGGCGUAAAACUUUAGUGCUCCUCAGAUGUCCUCAAAGCACAACAUAGGGUGUUAAUCCGCAUUUCUACGGGCUAUGCCCUACCAGGGGGAAGGUUGGAUACGCGUUACUCACCCGUGCGCCGGUCGCCAUCAGAAGUUGCAAGCAACUCCCAUGCUGCCCCUCGACUUGCAUGUGUUAAGCCUGUAGCUAGCGUUCAUC
RNAcentral lists this ribosomal RNA (319 nucleotides) under uncultured Prevotella sp. Its description in RNAcentral is "partial 16S ribosomal RNA". The record is from RNAcentral. Lineage: Bacteria; Pseudomonadati; Bacteroidota; Bacteroidia; Bacteroidales; Prevotellaceae.